RNAcentral lists this ribosomal RNA (254 nucleotides) under uncultured bacterium. RNAcentral describes it as "partial 16S ribosomal RNA". It matches the Rfam family "Bacterial small subunit ribosomal RNA", at positions 524 to 776 of the family's 1533-position model. The record is from RNAcentral.
UACGGGGGGAGCAAGCGUUGUUCGGAUUUACUGGGCGUAAAGGGCGCGUAGGCGGUCACGACAAGUCAGUUGUGAAAUCUCCGGGCUUAACUCGGAACGGUCAACUGAUACUGUCGGACUAGAGUGCAGAAGGGGCAACUGGAAUUCUCGGUGUAGCGGUGAAAUGCGUAGAUAUCGAGAGGAACACCUGCGGCGAAGGCGGGUUGCUGGGCUGACACUGACGCUGAGGCGCGAAAGCUAGGGGAGCGAUCGGG